Long non-coding RNA from Carassius carassius (crucian carp), 431 nucleotides. RefSeq lists it as uncharacterized. The record is from RefSeq and is a predicted model, not a curated record. The transcript has 3 exons. Lineage: Eukaryota; Metazoa; Chordata; Actinopteri; Cypriniformes; Cyprinidae.
UAAGGGUGCUUCCAAUUCAAUAGAGCCAUCAACCUCAGCAGAGCUCAGGAUUUACAUUCACAAUAAAAGGUGAAACAGACAGUCAUAAAGCAAGGCUUAUCAGUGCCCAGCAUCUGGCAGCAGAGAGCUUGUGCUAGCUGCAGUGAGUCUCUUUAUUCUGCCUCCCGCUGUCUGUAAACUGCUCUUCACGUUUCCAGAUCCACAGGUGCUGCGGGGGACGAGCUGAGCCCCUUCUCUUUAAACACAUAUGUUCCUGCAGAAUAUUUAGAGGAAUACAGGGCGAGUCAGCAUCUCCAAAGUGAUGAUCUCUCUGAUGGCAAAAACAACACUCAACAUCAGAUGGUCUCAGAUCUUCCAGAGAGAGAAGAUGGAGAAGGACAGGAGAGUGAACGACAAACAGCAGCUUCCAACUGCUGGAAUCUACCACGGAG